This 409-nucleotide long non-coding RNA is filed under the name Malus domestica (apple). RNAcentral describes it as "long non-coding RNA (MDOM_LNC001509)". Lineage: Eukaryota; Viridiplantae; Streptophyta; Magnoliopsida; Rosales; Rosaceae. The record is from RNAcentral.
GGGAAUUCACUCUCGCCGCCACCUCCACCACGGCCACUUCCAAGGGUCUGGGAUAAGAAGGCUGUUCCGGAGAGCGUGACAAAGCAAGAAAUCGCAAGGUUCUGGUGUCAGAAGCACAUUAACGAAAGGAGCAUCUCCUCGUCGCUAUCAAGGCUGCAGCAUGUAUUCGAGCCCUCAAGCUCUCGGUAAGAUUCUUUAAAAUGACUUGUUACAAGAAAAAACUUUAGUGUAACCGAGGAUAUAUCCCCUCUCAGUCUCACUCAUCACAUGUCAUGUGCUAUCGAGCUGAGACAUAUGGAUCAGAAACAUAUGCAAAAGAGCAGUUAGUAGCAUUUUUAUUUGUUUACUUUUGCUUAACUUGAUGAAGGGGUAUGGUGUAUAGGAGGAAGAUCACAGACGUUUUGAGGAG